GUCCUUUGGGGUGAGGUAGUAGGUUGUAUAGUUUUAGGGUUAUACCCUGCCUGUCAGAUAACUAUACAAUCUACUGUCUUUCCUGAAGUGGCU
This is a microRNA precursor of Sphenodon punctatus (tuatara), 93 nucleotides long. The record is from Ensembl. Lineage: Eukaryota; Metazoa; Chordata; Lepidosauria; Sphenodontia; Sphenodontidae.